RNAcentral lists this unclassified non-coding RNA (329 nucleotides) under soil metagenome. Its description in RNAcentral is "partial contains 5.8S ribosomal RNA, internal transcribed spacer 2, and large subunit ribosomal RNA". The stretch from base 1 to 120 matches the Rfam family "5.8S ribosomal RNA", at positions 35 to 154 of the family's 154-position model. The record is from RNAcentral.
GAUGAAGAACGUAGCGAAAUGCGAUAAGUAGUGUGAAUUGCAGAAUUCAGUGAAUCAUCGAAUCUUUGAACGCACAUUGCGCCCCCUGGUAUUCCGGGGGGCAUGCCUGUCCGAGCGUCAUUACAACCCUCAAGCUCAGCUUGGUGUUGGGCCCCGCCGCCCCGGCGGGCCCUAAAGUCAGUGGCGGUGCCGUCCGGCUCCGAGCGUAGUAAUUCUUCUCGCUCUGGAGGCCCGGUCGUGUGCUCGCCAGCAACCCCCAAUUUUUUUCAGGUUGACCUCGGAUCAGGUAGGGAUACCCGCUGAACUUAAGCAUAUCAAUAAGCGGAGGA